RNAcentral lists this ribosomal RNA (483 nucleotides) under uncultured bacterium. RNAcentral describes it as "bacterial SSU rRNA". It matches the Rfam family "Bacterial small subunit ribosomal RNA", at positions 30 to 507 of the family's 1533-position model. The record is from RNAcentral.
UUGAACGCUGGCGGCAUGCCUUACACAUGCAAGUCGAACGGCAGCACGGGAGCAAUCCUGGUGGCGAGUGGCGAACGGGUGAGUAAUAUAUCGGAACGUGCCCAGUCGUGGGGGAUAACGUAGCGAAAGCUACGCUAAUACCGCAUACGAUCUACGGAUGAAAGCGGGGGAUCGCAAGACCUCGCGCGAUUGGAGCGGCCGAUAUCAGAUUAGCUAGUUGGUGGGGUAAAGGCCCACCAAGGCGACGAUCUGUAGCUGGUCUGAGAGGACGACCAGCCACACUGGGACUGAGACACGGCCCAGACUCCUACGGGAGGCAGCAGUGGGGAAUUUUGGACAAUGGGCGCAAGCCUGAUCCAGCAAUGCCGCGUGCAGGAAGAAGGCCUUCGGGUUGUAAACUGCUUUUGUACGGAACGAAAAGGUUUGUCUUAAUACGAUGAGCUCAUGACGGUACCGUAAGAAUAAGCACCGGCUAACUACGUG